Molecule: ribosomal RNA, 358 nt
Filed under: uncultured bacterium
Lineage: Bacteria
Description: partial 16S ribosomal RNA
Rfam family: Bacterial small subunit ribosomal RNA
Source: RNAcentral
CCUACGGGAGGCAGCAGUGAGGAAUAUUGGUCAAUGGGCGCGAGCCUGAACCAGCCAAGUCGCGUGAGGGAUGAAGGUUCUAUGGAUCGUAAACCUCUUUUAUAAGGGCAUAAAGUGCGGGACGUGUCCCGGUUUGUAUGUACCUUAUGAAUAAGGAUCGGCUAACUCCGUGCCAGCAGCCGCGGUAAUACGGAGGAUCCGAGCGUUAUCCGGAUUUAUUGGGGUUAAAGGGUGCGUAGGCGGCCUUUUAAGUCAGCGGUGAAAGUCUGUGGCUCAACCAUAGAAUUGCCGUUGAAACUGGUAGGCUGGAGUAUGUUGGAGGAAGGCGGAAUGCGUGGUGUAGCGGUGAAAUGCUUAG